UUUCCGGUUGAUCCCGCCGGACCUGACUGCUAUCGGAUUGAUACUAAGCCAUGCGAGUCUUUGUAGUAAUACAAGGCAUACGGCUCAGUAACACGUAGUCAACCUACCCUAUGGACAAGAAUAAUCUCGGGAAACUGGGCAUAAUUCUUGAUAGAUCAUAAUGCCUGGAAUGGUUUAUGGUUAAAAUGAUUCGUCGCCAUAGGAUGGGACUGCGGCCUAUCAGCUUGUUGGUGAGGUAAUGGCCCACCAAGGCGAUUACAGGUACGGGCUCUGAGAGGAGAAGCCCGGAGAUGGGUACUGAGACACGGACCCAGGCCCUAUGGGGCGCAGCAGGCGAGAAAACUUUGCAAUGUGCGAAAGCACGACAAGGUUAAUCCGAGUGAUUUCUGCUAAAGAAAUCUUUUGCCAGUCAUAAAACCACUGGUGAAUAAGGGGUGGGCAAGUUCUGGUGUCAGCCGCCGCGGUAAAACCAGCACCUCAAGUGGUCAGGAUGAUUAUUGGGCCUAAAGCAUCCGUAGCCGGCUUUGUUAGUUUUCGGUUAAAUCCAUGUGCUCAACGCAUGGGCUGCCGAAAAUACUGCAUAGCUAGGGAGUGGGAGAGGUAGACGGUACUCAGUAGGAAGGGGUAAAAUCCUUUGAUCUAUUGAUGACCACCUGUGGCGAAGGCGGUCUACCAGAACACGUUCGACGGUGAGGGAUGAAAGCUGGGGGAGCAAACCGGAUUAGAUACCCGGGUAGUCCCAGCUGUAAACGAUGCAGACUCGAUGAUGCAUUGGCAUAAUAGCCAGUGCAGUGUCGCAGGGAAGCCGUUAAGUCUGCCGCCUGGGAAGUACGUACGCAAGUAUGAAACUUAAAGGAAUUGGCGGGGGAGCACCACAAGGGGUGAAGCCUGCGGUUCAAUUGGAUUCAACGCCGGGA
RNAcentral lists this ribosomal RNA (917 nucleotides) under uncultured archaeon. Its description in RNAcentral is "SSU rRNA". It matches the Rfam family "Archaeal small subunit ribosomal RNA", at positions 1 to 923 of the family's 1478-position model. The record is from RNAcentral.